RNAcentral lists this transfer RNA (87 nucleotides) under uncultured Microvirga sp. RNAcentral's name for it is "tRNA-Leu-CAA". It matches the Rfam family "tRNA". From Rfam's summary of the family: Transfer RNA (tRNA) molecules are approximately 80 nucleotides in length. The record is from RNAcentral. Lineage: Bacteria; Pseudomonadati; Pseudomonadota; Alphaproteobacteria; Hyphomicrobiales; Methylobacteriaceae.
GCCCCUGUGGCGGAACUGGUAGACGCGCCUGACUCAAAAUCAGGUUUCCGCGAGGAAGUGCUGGUUCGAUUCCGGCCAGGGGCACCA